Molecule: ribosomal RNA, 688 nt
Filed under: Mycena epipterygia
Lineage: Eukaryota; Fungi; Basidiomycota; Agaricomycetes; Agaricales; Mycenaceae
Description: eukaryotic LSU rRNA
Rfam family: 5.8S ribosomal RNA (bases 171-324)
Source: RNAcentral
UCCCUCUAGAUCCUCGUCCUCGUGUUGACCUUUGCGUUGAUGCAGGCGAGCGGAGGAGGGAGGAUGCUUUGCGCUUUUGUUUCAAACUAAAGGGCUAUGUUUUCAUAUACACUAUAAAGUUACAGAAUGUCUUUUAACGAUUGUGCUUGUCGCAGUCAUUAAACCUAUACAACUUUCAGCAACGGAUCUCUUGGCUCUCCCAUCGAUGAAGAACGCAGCGAAAUGCGAUAAGUAAUGUGAAUUGCAGAAUUCAGUGAAUCAUCGAAUCUUUGAACGCACCUUGCGCCCUUUGGUAUUCCGAAGGGCAUGCCUGUUUGAGUGUCAUUAAAUCAUCAACCUUCUUGCUUUGCUUGCGAAGCAUCUAGGCUUGGACGUGGGGGUUUUUGCUGGCUUCCUUCAGUGGAUGGUCUGCUCCCCUUAAAUGCAUUAGUGGGAUCUCUUGUGGACCGUCACUUGGUGUGAUAAUUAUCUAUGCCAUUUGACUUUGAAGCAAACUUAUGAGGACCUGCUUAUAACCGUCUUUCGGGACAACUUUUGACAAUUUGACCUCAAAUCAGGUAGGACUACCCGCUGAACUUAAGCAUAUCAAUAAGCGGAGGAAAAGAAACUAACAAGGAUUCCCCUAGUAACUGCGAGUGAAGCGGGAAAAGCUCAAAUUUAAAAUCUGGCGGUUCUUGUGGCCGUCCGA